GUCAUGGAGAGUAUUCAGUCGCAUUCUUAUAUUUGUCUAAAUGGCACCCAAUAAAUACUUCCCAUAGCCAAGAUUUUUGUCUUAGCUUGGAAACAAAGGAAAAGAAAUGAGACCUUUGGAGCGGAGGAGGAAAACAGAGGAAGAAUUCGCCCACUGAAAAAUCUAACUUCAGGAAAGCUAAAAUUAAUGUUUCACUCAUCAAGCGACAAGAAUUAAGGACAUUGUAAUAGGUCAAUAAAGAGUAGAGACUGGGAGGUGAGAUCCAGCCAGCUGGAUGCUGAGAACAUGAGGAUAAUGUUGCAACCCUGGGAUACUGGCACUGGAAGAAACUCUGGAAAUCACCUGGCCGUAGUCGUUCGUUUUAUGGAAAUGGAGGCUCAGAGAAAUAAACUGAAUUGGUCAAAGACACACAGACAAUUUUUGGAAGAGCUGGUCCUAGAACUUGGGUUACUUCUAUGAUGAUAUGAUUUCUAGUUUUUGUAAGUUUCUCCUUGGGUAGGUGCAUCUGGGUUUUCAGAUACAUGAUGAAUGAAAUCAUUAAAGAAAUAAAGCAUUUUUACUCCUUGUAA
Symphalangus syndactylus (siamang) is the source of this 569-nucleotide long non-coding RNA. RefSeq lists it as uncharacterized. The record is from RefSeq and is a predicted model, not a curated record. NCBI's taxonomy places the organism in Eukaryota, Metazoa, Chordata, Mammalia, Primates, Hylobatidae.